CCUUUUUGGCCAAGACCCAAUUGGGAAACCCUCUCAGCCAUCACCUAAAAGCGAGGUAGAGAGCACAGCUAGUACAGACUGCGUAUCGCGCGCGCAUGAGCGUUCGGGUACAUGCCUCUUAUGUAUAUCGCAUCGACAUGCGCAUGCGAGGUGCUCGGCCAGGAGCGCAGCAUGGCAAGCUGCGCACACUAGGUCUUUCCUUGCGUGCCCAAGUUACUGAGCGUGUAAACAAGCCUGGCUAGCCCCAGCACACACACAUGGCACUAUGCGUACACAUACUAACAGUGGUCCCCUUUGGAGUGUUGGCACGACUUAUGGAGCUUGUGCUCCCGCAGACAAUUACGGAAUAGCCGCAACCCAUAACCUGUUUAACACCUUGGUGGUCAAACCAUUUUUGAACUCAU
This 404-nucleotide long non-coding RNA is filed under the name Carica papaya (papaya). RNAcentral's name for it is "long non-coding RNA (CPAP_LNC011035)". The record is from RNAcentral. Lineage: Eukaryota; Viridiplantae; Streptophyta; Magnoliopsida; Brassicales; Caricaceae.